GGGACUCUAGUUUAAACAUAAUACAUAGCACUGUCAGCGCUAAAUUAAAGGUAGAACCCUUUGUGUCCCC
RNAcentral lists this transfer RNA (70 nucleotides) under Heteronotia binoei (common prickly gecko). Its description in RNAcentral is "tRNA-Asp". It matches the Rfam family "tRNA". From Rfam's summary of the family: Transfer RNA (tRNA) molecules are approximately 80 nucleotides in length. Lineage: Eukaryota; Metazoa; Chordata; Lepidosauria; Squamata; Gekkonidae. The record is from RNAcentral.